GAAAUGCGAUAAGUAAUGUGAAUUGCAGAAUCCAGUGAAUCAUCGAAUCUUUGAACGCACCUUGCGCCCUCUGGUAUUCCGGAGGGCAUGCCUGUUUGAGUGUCGUGAACACCUCAACCCUCCGACGUUUUCUUUAGCGUCGGAGGCGUUGGUAGUGAGCGCUGCCGGGCUUUGAACCGGCUCGCUUCAAAACCAUCAGCUGGAUCCAUUCCGACCUGGUUCUACUCGGCGUAAUAAGUCAUUGUCGUCGAGGACGCCGGCCUUCUGGGCGGGCGGCCACAGUAAGGGUGUCUGAACCGCUUCCAACACGUCUCGCUCUCGUAGCGAACGCUUGAACCUCUGACCUCAAAUCAGGCAGGACUACCCGCUGAACUUAA
RNAcentral lists this unclassified non-coding RNA (377 nucleotides) under uncultured Basidiomycota. RNAcentral's name for it is "sequence contains ITS1". The stretch from base 1 to 105 matches the Rfam family "5.8S ribosomal RNA", at positions 50 to 154 of the family's 154-position model. The record is from RNAcentral. Lineage: Eukaryota; Fungi; Basidiomycota.